GGCAGCUGGUCGGUGAAACAAGGUCAAACUAUAACAUGUCCAGCUGUGUGCAACUUUCAGACUGGAGAGUACAUUGUGGUACAUGACCAUAAGGUUUUGAGAAUAUGGAAUCAUGAAGACGUAAACCUGGAUAAAGUAUUUAAAGCUACGCUGUCAGCUGAGGUCCACAGGAUCCACUCAGUACAAAGGACAGAACCACUGGUGCUGUUCCGAAGAGGAGCUGCUCGUGGGUUAGAGGCCUUGC
Molecule: non-coding RNA, 244 nt
Organism: Peromyscus maniculatus bairdii (prairie deer mouse)
Lineage: Eukaryota; Metazoa; Chordata; Mammalia; Rodentia; Cricetidae
Source: RefSeq, a predicted model, not a curated record